GACGAACGCUGGCGGCGUGCUUAACACAUGCAAGUCGAACGGAAAGGCCCAGCUUGCUGGGUGCUCGAGUGGCGAACGGGUGAGUAACACGUGGGUGAUCUGCCCCUAACUUCGGGAUAAGCUUGGGAAACUGGGUCUAAUACCGGAUAGGACAAUCGUUUAGUGUCGGUUGUGGAAAGUUUUUUCGGUUAGGGAUGAGCCCGCGGCCUAUCAGCUUGUUGGUGAGGUAAUGGCCUACCAAGGCGUCGACGGGUAGCCGGCCUGCGAGGGUGGACGGCCACAUUGGGACUGAGAUACGGCCCAGACUCCUACGGGAGGCAGCAGUGGGGAAUAUUGCACAAUGGGCGCAAGCCUGAUGCAGCGACGCCGCGUGGGGGAUGACGGCCUUCGGGUUGUAAACCUCUUUCGACAGGGACGAAGCUUUGGUGACGGUACCUGUAUAAGAAGCACCGGCUAACUACGUG
This 464-nucleotide ribosomal RNA is filed under the name uncultured bacterium. Its description in RNAcentral is "partial 16S ribosomal RNA". It matches the Rfam family "Bacterial small subunit ribosomal RNA", at positions 28 to 507 of the family's 1533-position model. The record is from RNAcentral.